CUACUGCUUCCGUUUGUAAUGCAUGUUCUUCCCUGCCCCUAACCCUAGUAUAUUAUAAACAUGUAAUCUUGAACUUUUUGGGAUGAAGUAUGUUGUGACUGUUUAAGUACUGAAAUGCUUUUCUCUGAUGUCUAUUUAUGUGCAAUUGUGCUCUUACAUGUGAAUUACUUGUUCCCUUUGUCCCCCAUCCCCUGUUUGUGUUUACUUUCCUGAACUAUGUGUGAUACUCUAGUCUGAGAUAGUCUUACUCACCUUCUUAUAAGAGUUAUCACACUCUUAUGUUGUUUUCUUUCAAGAACUGAUUCUAUAUGGAUCAUAUUUUUUUAACUAUUUUUAUUAGCUAUUUUUUUUCUCAACCCAAUUUCUUUAUAACUCUAUCACACUCUCACUACUCCUAGAAAAUAGGGUCUCCUCCUUUCGUGUAAGCAUUGGUUUGGGUAUCUCUGAAUACCUACUGAACUUUGAUGCACAAGGCUGGUAAUUUCAC
RNAcentral lists this long non-coding RNA (487 nucleotides) under Nicotiana benthamiana. RNAcentral describes it as "long non-coding RNA (NBEN_LNC029502)". The record is from RNAcentral. Lineage: Eukaryota; Viridiplantae; Streptophyta; Magnoliopsida; Solanales; Solanaceae.